Molecule: long non-coding RNA, 457 nt
Filed under: Struthio camelus australis
Lineage: Eukaryota; Metazoa; Chordata; Aves; Struthioniformes; Struthionidae
Description: lncRNA (ENSSCUG00000003106.1)
Source: RNAcentral
AUGCCUCUAAUCCAAGAAGCCUCUACGGUACCUGCCAGUAUUUUGAGGACGAUUUACAACAUUAAAUCCUGCAACAGGGGAAUGGGACAGAGCUGGAGCUGUCUGGCCCGCAGCAUCCCUGUAACAGUGCAAGAGGACAAGCUGGGAGAAGUCAGCUGCAACCAGGAGUCCUACGGCACGUAAGAGCGCAGUCAAGCUUUUCUUCACAUGGAUGAAGUACUCCCAGGGGCUGGUUGUCCCCCAAGAAUGGAUCAUCGUCUUCGAUCUCCUUGCCCUUGGCUUUAGAAGCAGAGCAUGUUGCACUGACCUGUCUCCUCCAACACAAAAAUGGAGCAGCACGGGCAGCAAGAGGGAAACCUCAAACUAAAAUACCACCAACCAAAGCACUUUCUUGUUGGUGGUAUUGUGAAAAACUGCAGGUAUGAGAAGUUUAUGGCCCACAGCUUGACCCAAACCA